Molecule: ribosomal RNA, 489 nt
Filed under: uncultured bacterium
Lineage: Bacteria
Description: partial 16S ribosomal RNA
Rfam family: Bacterial small subunit ribosomal RNA
Source: RNAcentral
GAUGAACGCUAGCUACAGGCUUAACACAUGCAAGUCGAGGGGCAGCAUGAUUGAAGCUUGCUUCAAUCGAUGGCGACCGGCGCACGGGUGAGUAACACGUAUCCAACCUGCCGAUAACUCGGGGAUAGCCUUUCGAAAGAAAGAUUAAUACCCGAUAGUAUAGUAUUUCCGCAUGGUUUCACUAUUAAAGAACUUCGGUUAUCGAUGGGGAUGCGUUCCAUUAGAUAGUUGGCGGGGUAACGGCCCACCAAGUCAACGAUGGAUAGGGGUUCUGAGAGGAAGGUCCCCCACAUUGGAACUGAGACACGGUCCAAACUCCUACGGGACGCAGCAGUGAGGAAUAUUGGUCAAUGGACGAGAGUCUGAACCAGCCAAGUAGCGUGAAGGAUGACUGCCCUAUGGGUUGUAAACUUCUUUUAUACGGGAAUAAAGUGGAGUAUGCAUACUCCUUUGUAUGUACCGUAUGAAUAAGGAUCGGCUAACUCCGUG